This 447-nucleotide long non-coding RNA is filed under the name Felis catus (domestic cat). RNAcentral describes it as "lncRNA (ENSFCAG00000046368.2)". The record is from RNAcentral. Lineage: Eukaryota; Metazoa; Chordata; Mammalia; Carnivora; Felidae.
CUUCCUUUUCUCCUUUUUCUUCCGUUAAUUAAAUGUUUUAGAAAUAUAGGUAGGUGUUGGGCGUACAGAGAGGGAGAACGCAAGCAGCGGACAACUUCUCCCCGCAGAUCCGAUAGGCGUGCUGGGAUGGCAAACGAAGCGGGUCGGGUGCAGGGACACCAACUAUUGUAUUUUCAAAUUGUCCGAGCCCUGGACCCCGGCGGCUCCGCAACGGUGGCUGUCAACACCGCGAGCGAAGGUUCCACGAGCAGCGAGCGGCCUCGCCGGGACGGCCGCAGGUAGCAUGGAACAUAUGGAAUCCACUGACUUCAGGAAAUAUUUUCAGAGUGCACACAUAUUUCUUCAAGACGUUAACAUCCCAGGGGAGAAGGAGGAAUAAAAACAUGACAGGGAGUAAUUUAAAAUGGCAGGUACUGCAGUUUUCUUUUCCUGUGCUGGAAACCUGAU